AUUGAACGCUGGCGGCAGGCCUAAAACAUGCAAGUCGAACGAGUGGCGGACGGGUGAGUAAUGUCUGGGAAACUGCCCGAUGGAGGGGGAUAACUACUGGAACCGGUAGCUAAUACCGCAUACAAUCGGAUGGGCCAAGAGGGGAUUAGCUAUAGGGUGGGGUAAUGGCUCACCUAGGCGACGAUCCCUAGCUGGUCUGAGAGGAUGACCAGCCACACUGGAACUGAGACACGGUCCAGACUCCUACGGGAGGCAGCAGUGGGGAAUAUUGCACAAUGGGCGCAAGCCUGAUGCAGCCAUGCCGCGUGUAUGAAGAAGGCCUUCGGGUUGUAAAGUACUUUCAGCGGGGAGGCGUUACCCGCAGAAGAAGCACCGGCUAACUCCGUGCCAGCAGCCGCGGUAAUAC
Molecule: ribosomal RNA, 406 nt
Filed under: uncultured bacterium
Lineage: Bacteria
Description: partial 16S ribosomal RNA
Rfam family: Bacterial small subunit ribosomal RNA
Source: RNAcentral